GGCACGCGCGCUCGGCGCCGCGCUCGUGGGCGCGCGGGCCCGCCGCGUGGCGCCCGCGCGCGCCGUCGCCGAGGUGUACAUCCGCAAGCUGGCGGACACGCAGCAGAGCGUCGAGCUGCGGGUCGCGGUGAUGGGGGCGAACGAGGCGGGCAAGUCGACGCUCAUAGGCGUUCUCACUCAAGGUGAACUCGAUAACGGUAGAGGGAGCGCUCGCCUGAACAUGUUCAGGCAUUUGCACGAAAUGAAAAGUGGUAGGACGUCCUCGCUCAGCCACG
Molecule: long non-coding RNA, 275 nt
Organism: Nymphalis io (European peacock)
Lineage: Eukaryota; Metazoa; Arthropoda; Insecta; Lepidoptera; Nymphalidae
Exons: 3
Source: RefSeq, a predicted model, not a curated record